Molecule: long non-coding RNA, 240 nt
Filed under: Prunus persica (peach)
Lineage: Eukaryota; Viridiplantae; Streptophyta; Magnoliopsida; Rosales; Rosaceae
Description: long non-coding RNA (PPER_LNC001069)
Source: RNAcentral
AAGUUUUGGACUCAAUCCAAGAUCGAUUGGUCCAUGAAAUGGGACAAUUCCGGUUCGUAUGAAGUUCGUUCCAAAAUGGAGUGGUUGGUGUAUUGCAUAGUUCUAGGGAUUGGAUUUCACUCAAAACCCACCAAAUGACUCCUCCCACCGUAUUAUGAUGUUCCCAAAGUUUUGGACUCAACCAGAUGUUGAUUGGUCCAUGAAAUUGGAUAAUUCAGGUUCGUACAAAGUUCGUUCUCU